UGGGGAAUAUUGCACAAUGGAGGGAACUCUGAUGCAGCGACGCCGCGUGAGUGAUGAAGGAUUUCGUUUCGUAAAACUUUGUUCUAUGGGAAGAAAAGGACUGUACCAUAGGAGAAAGCUCCGGCUAAAUACGUGCCAGCAGCCGCGGUAAUACGUAUGGAGCGAGCGUUGUCCGGAAUUAUUGGGCGUAAAGGGUGCGCAGGCGGCUUUACAAGUUGGAUGUGAAAUAUUGUGGCUCAACCACAAACGUGCAUCCAAAACUGCAAAGCUUGAGUUAAGGAGAGGUGAGUGGAAUUCCUGCUGUGGCGGUGGAAUGCGUAGAUAUCAGGAGGAAUACCAGUGGCGAAGGCGACUUACUGGACUUAAACUGACGCUCAGGCACAAAAAAGUGAGGAGCGAGCAGG
This 404-nucleotide ribosomal RNA is filed under the name Fusobacteriota bacterium. RNAcentral describes it as "Fusobacteria bacterium partial 16S ribosomal RNA". It matches the Rfam family "Bacterial small subunit ribosomal RNA", at positions 355 to 776 of the family's 1533-position model. Lineage: Bacteria; Fusobacteriati; Fusobacteriota. The record is from RNAcentral.